UCUCCAGUGAAGGCUUGCCUCCUUCCCCCCUCGCCUCCCCCAGCAUCUCCCUGCUCCGUCCAGAUAAAGGGUGAGGACCAAGCACAUGUCAUUUUCUUUGUGCAAAAUCAAUAUUCAGCAAAGUUUAUCUGUCCGACAUAGCAGGAAGCGCUAAUUUCAUCCGCGUCAAUUACUUUGAUGAACGCUCAUACUGUUCAGGGUGCGAGAACAAGAUAAAAGAAUUACUGAAAUAAAAAGCAUACACCCGCCUGCAUGGCCCCCUCCCCUCUGGCCCCCACCCCAAAGCCCUGCGGGGCUGUGGGGCUGGGCUGCCCACGCGCAGACAGCUGGGUGGUGAUGGGGCGGAUGAGACUGCUUUGGGUUCGAAAGGUGGGGAUUUGGGAUGGAGACACGGCAGGACCACACCCUGCAAUCAAGCACAGCAACCCAUGCCCCUUCGGUCCCCAGUGGGAAUGGUUCCCCCGCUCCGUGCACAUCCCUGGCAGGAGUGGCGACAAAUGGCUCAUGGAGUAUCUUUGAUGCUGCACAUCAGAGGCGAUUUGUCAGCCCUUGUAGGCUGCCUGUUGCUCCUGUCCCACUGCAGUGGCCACAGGAGACAUCUGGGCUGCUGCCCCCCCAGUGACAGCAGUUGGCACAGGGUGGGGGAGGUUGGCCCUCAGAUCACCCCAAUCUGGAAAGCCUUCAUAGCCUGAACUGAGGCACGCAGGGAGAUCCCAAAUGCUGGGUCAGAUGGGGAUGGCCCUGCAAUGAACAGGCUGGACCCUGCCCUACCUGGCAGCAGAGGAAAACGUGGCUUAAGCAAAACCCG
This 808-nucleotide long non-coding RNA is filed under the name Phasianus colchicus (ring-necked pheasant). Its description in RNAcentral is "lncRNA (ENSPCLG00000005107.1)". The record is from RNAcentral. Lineage: Eukaryota; Metazoa; Chordata; Aves; Galliformes; Phasianidae.